RNAcentral lists this long non-coding RNA (512 nucleotides) under Marmota monax (woodchuck). The record is from RNAcentral. Lineage: Eukaryota; Metazoa; Chordata; Mammalia; Rodentia; Sciuridae.
CUCAGUUACAAGUCAGGCAUGGUGCUGGCAUGCCUGUAAUCCUAGCUAGUAGAGAGGCUGAGGCAGGAGGAUCACAAGUUUAAGGCCAGCCUCAGCAACUUGGCCCUAUCUCAAAAUUAAAAACAGGAAGGGCUGUGGAUAGAGCUCAGUGGUACAGCACCUGAGUUCAAUCCCCACUGUCAAAGGCAGAAGGGUUCGGUUCCAGGGGCACAUGCCUUGGCCCCCAUGUGCGGAAAAGCCUGCACCUCAAGCUGUUCUUACCGGUCAAGCUGCAAUGCUCCACUCAACGUGCACAGUCCUCUUCACGGCUGAGGCCAGAGGAAGGCCCAGGACCCUGAGGCUCUCCAAGGCAGUUCCAGGAAUGACUAGAGCUCCUGAACGAUGGCAAUCCCCACUGACCUAAAGCAAAGGAGAGCCACAGCCCUUGCCAACAACCACUCUCCACGCCCGCACAGUGCACAGCACUCACCAAUACUGACACCCCUCAACUUGGUCAGAGGGGCAUAGUCCCC